GGUACAGGUGAUAUCAAGUCCUGGACCUGGGCUGGCUGGAUUCAAGAAAGCACUGAUGUGUACCAGGAAGGUUGUUUGGUUGAAAGUAGUAAGAAGCAGAAGGCAUGAGCUCAUGGAGAGCACCACCCACAUUGAAUUGGGUACAGAAUAGGAAGGUUCAGUUUAAUAAAAAUUUACCUGGUACCUACUAUGACCAGGCAUCAGAUGAAUUAGCCAGGACAUAGCACAAUGACUACCACAUAGCAGAUAUUCAAAAUCUUUAUUGAAAUAGUGAAUGAAAUCUGUCCAUGGCCUCAAGAGAAAAUAGACUCAUAAAUGUAUCAUCGCAAAAGCACAGAGGAGAGAGCAUCUAACUCAACCUGGAGGAAAUGUCAUGCCAAACAAAAGGGACAUCAGAUGCAGAGGCGUUUUCACAUCCAAUUAGCUACCCUGUGAGGUAGAGGGGAUGCCAUUCUACAUACAGAUGAUGAAACUGAGCUUCAGAGUUCCACUUCUUGCCCAAGGUCACAUAUCUAACAACUGGCAGCCCAGAAGUAGAACCCAUGCCUCCAACUCCUGAUCCAAGGUUCAUUUCCAAUAAAUGGAUCAUUACUUAUUGAUACAGGCAAUGCCACAGUACUUUGGAGACCCCAAGAAUAGAACCACACCCUGUCUCAUCAAAGCAGCACCUUGGAGGGGUGGCCAAGAGCUCAGACUCUGAAAUCUGACUGAACUGCUAUCCAUUCACCACCUUGUCACUUAUUAGAUGUGUGAUUUUUUUUUUCUUUUGAGACGGAGUCUUGCUCUGUCGCCCAGGCUGGAGUGCAGUGGCAUGAUCUCGGCUCACUGCAACCUCCGCCUCCCGAGUUCAAGCGAUUCUCCUACCUCAGCCUCUAGAGUAGCUGGGACCACAGGCGUGCACCACCACACCUGGCUAAUUUUUGUAUUUUUAAUAGAGAUGAGGUUCCACUGUGUUGGCCGGGCUAAUCUUGAACUCCUGACCUCAGGUGAUCCGCCUGCCUUGGCCUCCCAAAGUGCUGGGAUUACAGGCGUAAGCCACCACGCCAGGCCUAGAUGUGUGAUCUUAAGAAAAAUAUUUUAUCUGUCUGAAUCUCUGCUUUAUACAUCUUUUUAAAAUGGAGAAUAAUAAUAACACAAACGCCUAGUGAACCUCUCAUCUUUUAUGCCCCCUUCUCAUGACUCAGUCCCCCUCUUCUGGCAAGACUAUGUAGAUUUUUUCCUUUCGGGACGCACCCCUCCUCCAUCCCCAGUCCUUCUGUUUCAGCUGAAGCUAACUCCACCCCCAGUUCCAGAUGUAGGCACAUGACUGAGGCUUGGCCAAUCAGAAUAUUCUGUGUCCGAACACAGUGAUUGGUUCAGAGAUUAACAAUGACGCAAGUUGGAGACCCAAUUAUAGUAUGAGCCUCUGGGAAGGAGAACCUGCCUUCCCAAUGGGUUUGCUGAGCAUGUCACUGGCACCCCUAUAACUGCUAGAGGCUAACUAGCCGUCACUGAAAAAAGGGGGACAGAGAAGCUGCUUGAGAGUGAAGUCGACCCAGAAGAAAACAGAAUAGAAAGAUGGAAAAAGAUUGGCGACAUUUUUUUUUUUUUUAAUUGGGACAGUCUCAUUCUAUUAUGCAGGCUGGAGUGCAGUUGCGCGAUCUCGGCUCACUGCAACCUCCACCUCCUGGGUUCAAGCAGUUCUCCUGCCUCAGCCUCCCGAGUAGCUGGGAUUACAGGUGCCUGCCACCACGCCUGGUUAAUUUUUGCAUUUUUAGUAGAGACAGCGUUUCUCCAAGUUGGCCAGGCUGGUCUCAAAUUCCUGACCUCAAGUGAUCCACCCACCUCGGCCUCCCAAAGUUCUGGGAUUACAGGCGUGAGCCACCACGCCUGGCCUGGCGACAUAAACUCCUGGAUCGAGUUGUGCCUCGUUCCCCUGGACUUGCCAUUUCAUGAACCAAAACAUCUUUUCCCCCUGGAGCCAUUUUGACAUGGAAUUCUAUUAUUUUUAACCAAAAGAGCCCUAGCAUGCUGGUUCCUAUGAAGGCUGGAUGGGAUAGCGUGAGUAAUGCUUGUGGAGCACUUCGCACAGAGCAAGGGCUCAAAAAAAAUGACUCUUGUUAUUUUGUCUUCCCUGGCCUGAACCACCUCAUUACCCUCAAAAUGAUUAGCACAGCAAGUGGCCAUAACACUGAGGACAGAGCUGCUGACUUGGCCUGAUGCAUUCACUGGCUUCCUUCU
RNAcentral lists this long non-coding RNA (2220 nucleotides) under Homo sapiens (human). RNAcentral describes it as "HSALNT0195751". The record is from RNAcentral. Lineage: Eukaryota; Metazoa; Chordata; Mammalia; Primates; Hominidae.